AGGCCCACCAUGGCGACGAUCAGUAGCCGUACUGAGAGGUAGAACGGCCACAUUGGGACUGAGACACGGCCCAAACUCCUACGGGAGGCAGCAGUGGGGAAUAUUGGUCAAUGGGGGCAACCCUGAACCAGCGACGCCGCGUGAGUGAAGAAGUAUUUCGGUAUGUAAAGCUCUAUCAGCAGGGACGAUGAUGACGGUACCUGACUAAGAAGCCCCGGCUAACUACGUGCCAGCAGCCGCGGUAAUACGUAGGGGGCAAGCGUUAUCCGGAUUUACUGGGUGUAAAGGGAGUGUAGGUGGUCAUGCAAGUCCGAAGUGAAAUCCCGGGGCUCAACCCCGUGACUGCUUUGGAAACUGUGUGACUGGAGUGCAGGAGAGGUAAGUGGAAUUCCUAGUGUAGCGGUGAAAUGCGUAGAUAUUAGGAAGAACACCGGUGGCGAAGGCGGCUUACUGGACUGUAACUGACACUGAGGCUCGAAAGCGUGGGGAGCAAACAGGAUUAGAUACCCUGGUAGUCCCCU
This 521-nucleotide ribosomal RNA is filed under the name uncultured Bacillota bacterium. RNAcentral describes it as "bacterial SSU rRNA". It matches the Rfam family "Bacterial small subunit ribosomal RNA", at positions 261 to 799 of the family's 1533-position model. Lineage: Bacteria; Bacillati; Bacillota. The record is from RNAcentral.